This 912-nucleotide long non-coding RNA is filed under the name Homo sapiens (human). RNAcentral's name for it is "novel transcript". Lineage: Eukaryota; Metazoa; Chordata; Mammalia; Primates; Hominidae. The record is from RNAcentral.
GACGUCACCGGACGCGCCCGCUUCUCGCUGGAGUGCGCACCGAGCGGCAGUGACUUCGCCGCUGCUGUAGUUCCCCGGCUGGAUGCGGUGACUGGUGCCAGUGCUCAGGCGCCCGCUGCCCUUGACCUCCCGCCCCGCGAGCCCUAACUCAGCGCAGGAGGACCGGCUGCCGCCGCCGCCGCCGCCAGGAGGUAGAUUGGGAAGUGGAGCUGGCCGUGGUCAUUGGAAAGAAAGGCAAGCACAUCAAGGUGUUGGUGUCACCCAUGAUCUAUCCUCCUGUAUGGCCAAAUCCCCUGCCCCCAUAGGCCACAGAUGCCAUGGCCCACGUGGCCGGCUUCACUGUGGCUCAUGACGUGAGUGCUCGUGACUGGCUAACAAGAUGCAAUGGGAAACAGUGGCUGCUGGGAAAAACCUUCGACACCUUCUGCCCUCUGGGCCCUGCCUUGGUGACCAAGGACAGUGUAGCAGAUCCACACAACUUAAAGAUCUGCUGUCGAGUGAAUGGGGAAGUGGUCCAGAGCAGCAACACCAACCAGAUGGUAUUCAAGACAGAGGACCUGAUAGCCUGGGUGUCCCAGUUUGUUACCUUUUACCCAGGGGAUGUCAUCCUGACUGGGACCCCCCCACCUCCACCCAGGUGUCGGUGUAUUCAGGAAACCUCCUGUCUUUCUCAAGAAGGGGGAUGAAGUCCAGUGUGAGAUUGAAGAACUAGGUGUCAUCAUCAACAAGGUGGUGUGAUGGCUCCUGCACAGGCCCUGCACAUAGGAUGAGGGCAUCUGCUCCCACUCAGCCUAGCCCAGGGAAAGGCCCAGUGACAGGUGUGGACAGGUGCCAGCCCUGCAAGCCGCCUCUUCUCGGUAGAAGGGAGAAGGACAGAGCUCUCUUCAAUAAAUUCGUCGGGUCAAAGCAGCA